This is a long non-coding RNA of Pseudophryne corroboree (corroboree frog), 646 nucleotides long. RefSeq lists it as uncharacterized. Lineage: Eukaryota; Metazoa; Chordata; Amphibia; Anura; Myobatrachidae. The transcript has 4 exons. The record is from RefSeq and is a predicted model, not a curated record.
AGACCGGAGAUGUUAAUGCAUUUACUACUCUGCUGAGUCGUCAAGGACUGUUGAGUCACUUUCUGCAAACUAUAUGUGGUGUGGUGAAUACACCAAUACAGGAGGCUGGCGUCAACUUUGCAGAAAUUUUGGUUACAGUGGACAAAGUUGUGGGAGGAGCCAUUACUGGAGCACUUCAACUUGUUAGUGGGGUUGUUAGUAACCUAGCUGGUCUUUUAAGUGGUCUUCUUGGUACUGUUGGUGGUGUAGUUAAUGGUGUUCUCGAUAGUGUGAUUGGUGAGAAGGGUCUUCUAGGUGGUGUGGUUGGUGGUGGUGGUCUUCUCGGUGGGGUUCUUGGUGGUGGUAAUGGUGGUGGUCUUCUCGGUGGUGUGCUUGGUGGUGGUAAUGGUGGUGGUCUUCUCGGUGGUGGUAAUGGUGGUGGUCUUCUCGGUGGUUUGCUUGGUGGUGGUGGUGGUGGUAAUAGUGGAAAAAAAGGAGCUCUUGGUGGCUUACUUGGAUAAUACUAACAGUCACCUCAUUACCCCAUGCUCGCAGGACAAGAAAGUGACACAUUCUACAUUUCUUCAUAUUCAUUUUCUUCUCAAUUAUUCUUGUCUCAAUUUUACAUUUACUGUAUCACUUACUUGAUAAUAAAUAGGAAGCAUUA